UUUCUCUUACGGGGGGCAGCAGUGGGGAAUAUUGCACAAUGGGGGAAACCCUGAUGCAGCAACGCCGCGUGAGUGAAGAAGUAUUUCGGUAUGUAAAGCUCUAUCAGCAGGGAAGAAGAAAGACGGUACCUGACUAAGAAGCCCCGGCUAACUACGUGCCAGCAGCCGCGGUAAUACGUAGGGGGCAAGCGUUAUCCGGAUUUACUGGGUGUAAAGGGCGUGUAGCCGGGCUGACAAGUCAGAUGUGAAAUCCGGGGGCUCAACCCCCGAACUGCAUUUGAAACUGUUGGUCUUGAGUAUCGGAG
Molecule: ribosomal RNA, 305 nt
Filed under: uncultured bacterium
Lineage: Bacteria
Description: bacterial SSU rRNA
Rfam family: Bacterial small subunit ribosomal RNA
Source: RNAcentral